This 502-nucleotide ribosomal RNA is filed under the name uncultured bacterium. RNAcentral describes it as "bacterial SSU rRNA". It matches the Rfam family "Bacterial small subunit ribosomal RNA", at positions 27 to 521 of the family's 1533-position model. The record is from RNAcentral.
GAUGAAACGCUGGCGGCGUGCUUAACACAUGCAAGUCGAACGGGAAACUUUUUCAUUGAAGCUUCGGCAGAUUUGGUCCGUUUCUAGUGGCGGACGGGUGAGUAAACGCGUGGGUAACCUGCCUUAUACAGGGGGAUAACAACCAGAAAUGGUUGCUAAUACCGCAUAAGCGCACAGGACCGCAUGGUCCGGUGUGAAAAAACUACCGGUGGGUAUAAGAAUGGACCCCGCCGUUGGAUUAGCUAGUUGGCAGGGUAACGGCCUACCAAGGCGACGAUCCAUAGCCGGCCUGAGAGGGUGAACGGCCACAUUGGGACUGAGACACGGCCCAGACUCCUACGGGAGGCAGCAGUGGGGAAUAUUGCACAAUGGGGGAAACCCUGAUACAGCGACGCCGCGUGAAGGAAGAAGUAUCUCGGUAAUGUAAACUUCUAUCAGCAGGGAAGAUAGUGACGGUACCUGACUAAGAAGCCCCGGCUAACUACGUGCCAGCAGCCGCCGU